CAAUAUCUGAACACACAAGGAAACUAUAAUCUCCUCCUUCACCUUAUUGGUCUCUUCCUUACAACAAUUCAGUCAUACCAAUAACUACUACUUCCACCAAUAUAUUCACCCUCAUAAUCUCCAACUGUAAUACUAUGCCCUCACAGUUUUCAGCACACAAUUAUCCUCGUUCCAAUCAUUGGAAUUCUUCACAUAGAAUUGCCAUUCAUAUUACAGUGUUUCACACAAACACAGACUCAAUCUCUCUGCUGAACUACAAUCAGAUUUCAGCAUUCAAUCUUUCUUUUUCUCAAAUAAUACCAAUCACAUUUUUAUUUCAUAAUUCACUUCACAAUAUUCAGAAACUUUCAAUCAUCUUAUUCAAAGAAAAUAACAAACAAAAGAAAAGAGGUAGUACCAAGCUUACCCCGGUUCACGACUCUCACAGUCUGGUCCUCGCUUCAUAACUCUCACAGUCUGGCCCUCGGCUCACAACUCUCACAGUGUGGCCCUCGGCUCACAACUCUCAUAGUCUGGCAUUUUCUUCCCCUCUCCCAUCCUCCUUAUACUACCCCGAGAUACCAACUCCUAUACUAUAGAUGAUAACUACUUUUUCUGACUAUUCAUCCAUUCUACCUGC
Molecule: long non-coding RNA, 619 nt
Filed under: Physcomitrium patens
Lineage: Eukaryota; Viridiplantae; Streptophyta; Bryopsida; Funariales; Funariaceae
Description: long non-coding RNA (PPAT_LNC001347)
Source: RNAcentral